Molecule: long non-coding RNA, 6374 nt
Organism: Ostrea edulis (European flat oyster)
Lineage: Eukaryota; Metazoa; Mollusca; Bivalvia; Ostreida; Ostreidae
Exons: 3
Source: RefSeq, a predicted model, not a curated record
CGUGUCUCCUUCACAGUAGUUAAUAUUUUGGUAAAGAACAAAGAUAAGGACUUGGUAAGAUAUCUACUGGAAUCAGCAAUGUAUCUUUGCUUGUAAGUAUAUUUGUGAAGGUUUGGAAUCUAGUACAGUUACAGUAAUUCAUGUCCAUUCGUCUCAUUAACUGUUCGAUAUUAAAUGUGUGUAAAACUGAAGCAUGAUUUUGAAGAAUUUCAUCUUUGGGAAGGAUAGUUUGAGUAUACGUAGAAGUACUAAUUGUGGAAUCGAUGCUAAGUCCCUUUACAAUACAGUUGUAAUAAUGUACAUUACAAACAAAGACACUGUUCUGACAAGCUUUGACAGCUUUAACCAAAACAUAUUCAUCAAGUAACCCAAUCUCAUUCUUUUAUCACUUCUUGUUUACUGAAUAGAUGGAACGUCCUUCUGUUAUGAUGUGUCUAAAAACAAUUAUUUAUGUUUUUAAUACUCCUGUGAUACUUUUAUCCAUUCUGACAUGUUAUCAAGUUCUUCUUUUUUCAUAUUUAGCCCAUCUUCGAUAGAAUCACGUAACAGAACUUGAAUUAUGCUGGAAUACAAGUAUUUCCAUGACGAAGAAUGUUGAUUAUGUUGAAGGCAUCGAUUUCUUUGCUAGUAAAUUUAUUUUUUAAGAGCUGACGGCAUGAUUCGGAAGAAUUAUCAUCCAUAACCCGCGGUAUUUUCAAGAGCAUGUGAUGGGCAACAUCCGUAAUCAUAAAAUUCAGUUGAUGUUGAAAAAUCCAAGUACUGACUGGCUAUGGCCUCUUCAGAUAACAUAAUUAUUCCAAACUCUCGAGGCGACAGAGUAAAGUUUUGUGCUAGUACUUGAUGGACCUAAUUUCCUAUUGACAGAACUAGUUUUGAAUAAAUUCGAGGAGGUUGCAAUAACGAUUCAGGAAAAUGGCUGAGGACUCCAUGACAAAGAGGAAAACGGCUAACGACUUUAUGAGAGAGGAGAACUGGCAGACGAGUUUAUGACAGAGGGGGAAAUGGCUGAGGAGUUCGUGACAGAGCCGAAUAUGGCUGAAUAGUUCAUGACAGAGAGGAAAUAGUUGGCUUUCACAACUUCUUUUGCUCGGAACACAUGCUGGGAAUCAACUGUUCCAUAUCCUGGAAUUAAAGAGGAUCGCACCUGAGGUUUGGAGUAAUGCAAUUUUUUGGGGAAGUAUAUUUUUGAUUUCUACAAUGAAGAAGAAUUUGGAAAUUGAAAAAAAAAACUGGGCUCGCAAUGCUUGUUAUUGAUCUACAUUGUUCUAAACAAUAACUUAUUUGGACUUCUUUAUGCAAUUAAACUUGAUUUGUCUGUUGGUGUCAAAACAGUAUAAACAACACAAAUCAAGCAUUACAAAAAAUAGAUACAUGAUUAUGUCUUCUAACAAUGCAGAUUAAAGAAAUGACACUAGUAAUGGAAAUAAUUAAUGACAUUUUUGCACUUGAUAUGCGAAAAUUUUCAUGAUAUCAAAAUUGAAAGCUUAAAAGGACAUAUUAUGAGUAAUGUCAAUUUCUAAAAUUUUACAUAAUUUUCAAAGUCUGGUCUUACAAUUUAAAAUGGAACUAAAAAGUGGGGAUUGGAGAUGGAAUUCUUAAUUUAUUGGCGAAAAUACUUAAUCUUAUACAAAAUUUGGAGUAAAUUAAUUAAAAUGUUUGUUAAGAAUCGGUUGUCUGCUUAAAAAAUAUAUCAUCCAAACAGAUAUAUUACAUUUGAACUAGUUCCAAGUCUCAACUAUCUAUAUCAUAAAGUAUAAGACUGAAAUUCACGUAUAGGAGUAUAAUAUAGACGAUACAUUGAAUGAAACAGAAUCUGUAAUAUUAUGCAGAUUAAGAACUUCUUUGAUUAAUGAAUCCUUCCGCCACAAAAUAUACUCCCUGCCAAACCCUUUCAAAAUUUGAAUUGAUACCACAUUUUUCAAAUGGAUGGGGUUCAGUGAUAGAUGUGUAAUAUGUUUGUACUAAUGGAAUCAGUAUUGAGCCAGUAAAUACUCAGUUGUAGCAUCCUGAGCAGUUGCCCUCAGAAGUCCAGGAGGUAACUUCCUUAAUUUACCUGCGAGAAAGUCCAUUAUCUGUUUCCAUAUGUCCCAUUGAUUGGUCGUAGGUUCAGUACUUGUUCCUACCGUUGAUUGGUUGAUGAAUGCUGUAGAAUGAAUCACAAUAACACUGAGACGUACAUCCCAAUACAUACCACACUUAACAUGACAUUCGUACGACACACAUUGAUAGGGCUGUGAUGUGCCAAGUAAUGGGCUAUCGCUAUAAAAGCAAACAUUGAUAGGGCUGUGAUGUGCCAAGUAAUGGGCUAUCGCUAUAAAAGCAAGCAUUGAUAGGGCUGUGAUGUGCCAAGUAAUGGGCUAUCGCUAUAAAAGCAAACAUUGAUAGGGCUGUGAUGUGCCAAGUAAUGGGCUAUCGCUAUAAAAGCAAGCAUUGAUAGGGCUGUGAUGUGCCAAGUAAUGGACUAUCGCUAUAAAAGCAAACAUUGAUAGGGCUGUGAUGUGCCAGGUAAUGGACUAUCGCUAUAAAAGCAAGCAUUGAUAGGGCUGUGAUGUGCCAAGUAAUGGGCUAUCGCUAUAAAAGCAAGCAUUGAUAGGGCUGUGAUGUGCCAAGUAAUGGACUAUCGCUAUAAAAGCAAACAUUGAUAGGGCUGUGAUGUGCCAAGUAAUAAACUAUCGCUAUAAAAGCAAGCAUUGAUAGGGCUGUGAUGUGCCAAGUAAUGGACUAUCGCUAUAAAAGCAAACAUUGAUAGGGCUGUGAUGUGCCAAGUAAUAAACUAUCGCUAUAAAAGCAAACAUUUCUUCUAUGUUAGCAGUGACUUACGCUGAACUUAACGAAUGAUAACUUUGACAUGAAAUAUCGAAUAAGUUUCAAACAAGAUCUUAUUAGCCUUGAGAUACUGGACCCAUAUUGAUAAAACAAAUUGGGAUCCUCUUGAUACCAACGAAUAGACAGUAAUUUAAAUGAUUUAUAAGUACUUACUUAGCGUUGUAUCGGUCAUUUCAUUGACAUCUAAAGCAUUCACUUGAGUUAGAUUAAUAUGUUUUUCGUCUGUAUCAGAGAAUCUGAAAUAAAAUGUUCCUAUGAAAGGGAGGGUAAAUUCCCAUUUGAAUAUUCACAGCUGUGCCACAAUUUAUUCGUUUGAGAGUACUUGAUCAGGACAUCCUCAGUAACAUUUAGCAAACGUUGAUUUUGUCUCAUUGAGAUUUGUUUCUUCACCGAUGCAAGCACUAGUACUAGAAUACUGAAAACAGAGAGAUUUCAAAGGUACACUAAAUGGUUUUUCUCAUGUAUGUUAAGUGACAUUUUGUAUUGCUUAUAGGAGUUAUGAGAUUGAUUGCUGUUUGUUAUCUUCGCCUUUCAUGGUAGGGUUUCUCAUUAUAAUUCUUAUGAUUAUCAAAGUACACGUAGAGAACUUUUGUAAAACUACCAUACUUUUGUUUGUUCACUGUAAUGAAAAGUGUUAAAGUCAUACACCAUUUAACAGUCAGAAGAAGAGAACUGUUUCACAAGCAAACCCGACGCACAAUUUACAUGUACCCAUAAAGAAUACUUUACUUAACAUCGGGAUCACGUUCUCAUAACAUCGCUAAAUAUCGGAAUCGUACACUAAUACCAUCGGUAAACACUAGAACAUGCUCUAACAACAUCGUUAAAUAUAGGAAUCAUGCUGCAAUAAUAUCGGUAACCAUCGGAAUCAUGCUCUAACAACAUCGCUAAAUAUCGGAAUCAUGCUCUAAUGACAUUGGUAAACACCGAAAUCAUGCUCUGAUAACAUCAUUAAACAUCGGAAACACUGUAAUAACUUCAGUAAACAUAGGACGCGUGUUUUUAUAGGCUUUGAAGUCUUUUGCAAUGAUUUAACCAUUUUCCCAUACUAAAGCAUUUGGAAUGAUUUAUCAAAAUUCUGGUGUUUACAUUCAUCAAUGUCCUGUCAAUAACACUCCUUUGUAGAUUAAAAUGCUUACACUUCCUCAUGUAGGAAUUCAUGCUUAUGUCAGACGAAACUUACUUCGUUUAGAAAGUUAUACGGAAUAUAAAUUACAUAAAGAGAUUCUAUUUCUUAAGUUUAACAUUGAUAGAUUGAUCAGUGAUAUUAUUAGAUUAAACGUACCUCUUUGUACACUUUUUGCUAUCAAUUCCAGUACAUAAAUAUGUGUUAUGUGUAUUGACGACCUUCCUGUUCACAACACACUUUACAUGUAAUAUUUCUAUUUCUAUGUAAUUGAUUUCCGCUACAUUGUAUGUUAUGUAGUACAACUCGGUACCUAAUCAAGGAUGAUAUGGUUAAGACCAGUACUUAUAAUUAGCUUUCAGGGGUAACUUUAUAAACGCAAUUAGGGACAUAUUCAGUACACAUGACAAACUUCUCUGUUUUCAAUAUUCCUGUACAAAAUUGAAUGAAUAUGCAAGACAUGUAAGAAUAGUUAGCAACACUACAAACUCAAUUCAGUCAAGUUGAUCAAAUAACGAUUUGUUACUGGGUAUUUGGUAUUUGUUUUCAGAGCUUUCUUGUAUAUAGACACUCGUUUCACUAUUUUCACACAUUAAUUGAAAACUUGUUCUAGGUACAUUAGGUUGGUACAUAAGAAUCAAUAAAUAUUCUACAGUAAGGAAACUUUCAAACAUCCUCCAAUUUUGUCGUCAACUGUAAACAUAUAGCACUAGCUUAAGAAGUCUUCAAAACUAGGAAGAAACAUUUGCUUGUAGAAAAAGUCCUUAAAAGUAUUUGUAAAUAUAUAUUUUUUUCAAUGGCAAGUAAUUUAGUAUAUUCAAAUACAUUUCUUAAAUUAUGCGUAAUUGCAUUACCCUUUUUAAUUUUUUUUUAUUCUUAAAACUUUUUAUAACGAAUUAAGUAUAAAGAUAUGCAUUUGGAAUAGAAAGUAUAGUAUGGAAUAUAUGAGAAACAUUUCAAUAACGAGUCCACUCCCACUGAUGGACGCAAUGUUGAUAGAAAUACGAAUCCAUUGUAUGGGUAUGAUACAUAUUAUUGUUGAUCAGAUCUUUAUAGAAUAAGAUGUAAACUUACCAAAUCUACACAGAACUCCAACAAACUUGCAACAGUUCAAACAUCCCCUGCAAUCAUUCUAAGUAAUAUGUAUACAUAAAGUUUGAAAUGAGCAAAUAUAAUGUAAUGAUUCAUAUCUUCUACGGUUUGAGUUCAGUGGCAAAUGCCUGGGUGGGAAAUAUGAAUAUAGAAUAUUUUGGAAGUAUAGGAAAACACCUCCUAAAACUGCUAUAUAGUUUAUCCCCAAUUUUCUCUAUACAAUUAUCACAUCCUAACGGUUAAGUGAAAGCUGCUUUAAAAUGAUAAUACUGUCCUAGUCUAUUUAUUUCCUGUGUAAAUAUCUACCCUGGACUAAUUGUGUAACAAAUCAUAGGCAAAUUGGUAAAUUUAAAACACGAAUGCGUUCAAUGGCAGUGCAAAUCAUUUUAGCUCUUCACAACAGGGUGGAGGCCCGGGUCAGAAUAGAUCCUCAGUGUCCCUUGCUUGUCGUCGGAGGCGACUAAAUGGAACGGUCCUUUGGAUAAGACCGCAAAAACCGAGGUCCCAUUCGAAAGCGGGUGUGGCACGAUAAAGAUUCCUCCCUGAUUAAAGGCCGUAAAACACCGAGCAUAGGCCUAAAUUUUAUAGCCGUUUACCGGCAAUGGUGAUGUCCUAAUGUGGGUUAACAUUCUCGAGGGGGACGUUAAAGAAAAGAAAAUCAAUCAAUCACAACAGGGGGUGCUUACUCCUCUUAGGAGCUGAUCCCACCUGUGCUGUUUCCAAUGCUCCGUGUUUGCCGUACUAUUAAUUUAAUUAAUUCACCUUUUUAUACUUUAAAUAGAUAUAUUAACUAUCCAUUUUAUAUUGCUUGUGAGAGUUAUGGGAUUGAUCACUGUACUUUAUCUUCGCCUUUCAUAUACAAUUAUCAAAUCAAAGCUAAACUACGCAGGUGAGUAUGCAACCCAUGGAUCUCUUAAGUUAGUAUUUCAAUUACUUUCGAUUUUGUAUUUCUUAUAGGAUUGAUGACAUGGAACGCUGUUCGUUAUCGUUACCUUUUCCCAUUUGAAAGCCUUAUUUGGGUUACUAUAGAUCUUCCAUAUCCUUGCUUGUCCUAAAAGGCGACGAAAUGGGGCAAUCACCCGGAUGAUACCACCAAAAUAUGAGGUCCCGUGUCACAACAGGUGUGGUACAAUAAAGCUCUUUUCCUGUUCAAAGACCAUAAGCGCCGGGCAUAGGCCUAAGUUGUGCAACCCUAAACCGGCAAUAGUGACGUCUCCAUUUGAGUGAAAGAUUAUCGAAAGAGACGUUAAACAGUAUACAAUCAACUAACCAGCUGAAUGCAAAAAGAUUCUGUUUAAAUGAUUAGACAAUAAAAAAAACUAAUGAUGAU